Molecule: ribosomal RNA, 1241 nt
Filed under: metagenome
Description: bacterial LSU rRNA
Rfam family: Bacterial large subunit ribosomal RNA
Source: RNAcentral
UGAAUACGAGAUGCUACGGCGUCGAAGCAGUGUAUGUCAGACUUCCAAGAAAAGCUCGCAAUGUCAUAAAUAAAUAAUGCCUGUACCAUAACCGACACAGGUGGGUAGGUAGAGUAUACUAAGGGGCGCGAGAUAACUCUCUCUAAGGAACUCGGCAAAAUAACUCCGUAACUUCGGGAGAAGGAGUGCCUUAUUUAUAAGGUUGCAAUAACAAGAUCCAAGCAACUGUUUAUCAGAAACACAGGUCUCCGCUAAGUCGUAAGACGAUGUAUGGGGGCUGACGCCUGCCCAGUGCCAGAAGGUUAAAGAAGUUGGUUAGCAUUGCGAAGCUGAUGACUGAAGCCCUGGUGAACGGCGGCCGUAACAAUAACGGUCCUAAGGUAGCGAAAUUCCUUGUCGGGUAAGUUCCGACCCGCACGAAAGGCGUAAUGAUUUGGAUACUGUCUCGGAGAGGGACUCGGUGAAAUAGACUUGUCUGUGAAGAUGCGGACUACCUGCACCAGGACAGAAAGACCCUAUGAAGCUUUACUGUAACUUGAAAUUGAAAUUGGACUUUAUUUGCGCAGUAUAGGUGGGAGGCGUUGAAAAUAAUCUCGCGGGAUUAUUGGAGCCAUCAGUGAGAUACCACUCCUAUAAUGUUAGAUUUCUAACUUUGUAUCAUUAUCUGGUCAAAGAACAGUUUCAGGCGGGCAGUUUGACUGGGGCGGUCGCCUCCUAAAUGGUAACGGAGGCGUACAAAGGUUUCCUCUGAACGGGUAGAAAUCGUAUCUAGAGUAUAAAGGCAUAAGGAAGCUUGACUGUGAGACCUACAAGUCGAGCAGGGACGAAAGUCGGUCUUAGUGAUCUGACGGUGCUGAGUGGAAAGGCCGUCACUCAACGGAUAAAAGUUACUCUAAGGAUAACAGGCUGAUCUCCCCCAAGAGUUCACAUCGACGGGGAGGUUUGGCACCUCGAUGUCGGCUCAUCGCAUCCUGGGGCGGUAGUACGUCCCAAGGGUUGGGCUGUUCGCCCAUGAAAGCGGUACGCGAGCUGGGUUCAGAACGUCGUGAGACAGUUCGGUCCAUAUCCGGUGUAGGCGUUAGAAUAUUGAGAGGAGCCUUCUUUAGUACGAGAGGACCGAGAAGGACAUACCUCUGGUGUACCAGUUAUCGUGCCAACGGUAAACGCUGGGUAGCUAUGUAUGGAGUGGAUAACCGCUGAAAGCAUCUAAGUGGGAAGCCCACCUCAAGAUGAGUAUCCCC